GCCUACGGCCAUAAUACCCUGAACGCGCCUGAUCUCGGAAGCUAAGCAGGGUCGGGCCUGAUUAGUACCUGCAUUGGAGACCGCCUGGGAAUACCGGGUGCUGUAGACU
This is a ribosomal RNA of Salvator merianae (Argentine black and white tegu), 109 nucleotides long. Lineage: Eukaryota; Metazoa; Chordata; Lepidosauria; Squamata; Teiidae. The record is from Ensembl.